This 450-nucleotide ribosomal RNA is filed under the name uncultured bacterium. RNAcentral's name for it is "partial 16S ribosomal RNA". It matches the Rfam family "Bacterial small subunit ribosomal RNA", at positions 338 to 795 of the family's 1533-position model. The record is from RNAcentral.
CCUACGGGUGGCUGCAGUGGGGAAUCUUGCGCAAUGGACGAAAGUCUGACGCAGCGACGCCGCGUGGGUGAUGAAGGCCUUCGGGUUGUAAAGCCCUGUGGGGAGAGAAGAAUAAGUGCGGGCUAAUACCCCGCAUGAUGACGGUAUCUCCUUAGCAAGCACCGGCUAACUCUGUGCCAGCAGCCGCGGUAAGACAGAGGGUGCAUAAGUGGUUCGGAAGUACUGGGCGGAAAUCGGGUGAGGGCGAUCUGAAAGCCCCGGGCUCACCCCGGGAAGUGCACUCGAUACUGUUAGGCUAGAGUACUGGAGAGGUUGGUGGAAUUCUCGGUGUAGAGGUGAAAUUCGUAGAUAUCGAGAGGAACACCGGUGGCGAAGGCGGCCAACUGGACAGAUACUGACGCUGAGACACGAAAGCGUGGGGAGCAAACAGGAUUAGAUACCCCAGUAGUC